This 473-nucleotide ribosomal RNA is filed under the name uncultured organism. RNAcentral's name for it is "partial 16S ribosomal RNA". It matches the Rfam family "Bacterial small subunit ribosomal RNA", at positions 333 to 797 of the family's 1533-position model. The record is from RNAcentral.
ACACUCCUGCGGGAGGCAGCAGUGGGGAAUUUUGGACAAUGGGCGAAAGCCUGAUCCAGCAAUGCCGCGUGUGUGAAGAAGGCCUUCGGGUUGUAAAGCACUUUUGUCCGGAAAGAAAUCCUUGGCUCUAAUACAGUCGGGGGAUGACGGUACCGGAAGAAUAAGCACCGGCUAACUACGUGCCAGCAGCCGCGGUAAUACGUAGGGUGCGAGCGUUAAUCGGAAUUACUGGGCGUAAAGCGUGCGCAGGCGGUUUGCUAAGACCGAUGUGAAAUCCCCGGGCUCAACCUGGGAACUGCAUUGGUGACUGGCAGGCUAGAGUAUGGCAGAGGGGGGUAGAAUUCCACGUGUAGCAGUGAAAUGCGUAGAGAUGUGGAGGAAUACCGAUGGCGAAGGCAGCCCCCUGGGCCAAUACUGACGCUCAUGCACGAAAGCGUGGGGAGCAAACAGGAUUAGAUACCCGAGUAGUCCCA